This 801-nucleotide ribosomal RNA is filed under the name Triticum aestivum (bread wheat). Its description in RNAcentral is "partial small subunit ribosomal RNA". Lineage: Eukaryota; Viridiplantae; Streptophyta; Magnoliopsida; Poales; Poaceae. The record is from RNAcentral.
AUGAAGUUCCUCUUCAUGGUGGGAUUGAACAGCGACAUCUCCAAGACUAUCUUCGUCGAGAACUACAAGUCCCUCGAUGACAACUAUAUUGGUGCUCUCAAGGCGGAACAAGAACUCAUGAAUGCCAAGGCUUCUCCACCCCAAGCACACUUCGAGAUGACCAAGCUCCAUGAGAAUGAGCAUGAGGCUAGUACCACCAAGAUGCCCAAGCCCGACGAGCUCCAAGAUGAUGCUCCCGAGUUCGACUUCACCGCCAUCCCUCUUUGUGGCAUUGAUGAUGCCGAGUCUACUUUGACUCUUUUUCAAGACGGUGCGGCGACGAGUACGACUACAGAGACCCUCAAGGACCAAGCUUUGGAGGCGAGCAACAAGGUGGCGAGCAAGGAUGAUGCUUCCAUCUUAGGAGGCGAUGAGAUGAUCGAGCAUGGGAUUUUCCCUUCGGUCAUGGAGGAGAGUGAGGAUGUGCCAUCUUCGGCCUUCAUCUAUGGCGACAAUGACGAGAUGGUUGAGCAUGGGAUUUUCCCUUCGACCACAGCGACGUAUGAUGACUUGAGUGACUUUUGCCACCAUAUUGAGAGUGGGAGUGACUGCACCACUAGCCCCAUAUAUGACGAGUUGCCCCAAUUCCCAUGCGAGGAGAGCCACAACCCCCACCACUUGAGUGAGAUGAGUGACUCCACCAUAUGCGACUUUGAGUGCACCUAUUUUGAGGGAGUGAGUGAACCACCACAUAGAGAGAGUGUGGUAGUUGAUAGGUUUCGUGAGGCCAUUUGCAUUUCUAACAACUUGAACUCUACUUAG